GCUUAGUUGAGUUGAAUUGAGUUAAGUUGUAGUUGCCAUAAUUAUGUAGUAUAAUUUGGAUUUUGUAAAUCAGCCUAGAAUGUGUAUAUCCCUCUUUAAUAUUCUAACUUUCUUGAUUCAUUGUGACUUGUAUAGAUUUCCUAUUCAUAUUAGAGAAAAUACAUCAAGUUUUUCUCGUCAAUCAGCUCUUUCUUUCUUCCUCUAUUUUCUCACAUUAUUUCUUAUUUUUAAUGCUUCUUCCCCAAUCAUGUCUUUUCACAGACUUUAUGCCAUUCAUAUACUACUCAAUGUAAUUGAUCUUAUUCUCCUUCCAACUGGUUUUGCAAUAUGGAAAUGCAGCACAAGUUUUACUCAGGAACAAAUUUCUUCAGGCUCCUUGUAAUGACACCGAUAAACUACAUCAAACAACAUUCACUUCUACCGCAAACCAUCAAUGACCAGUGACACUAAUUUUGCUAUAGCCAUCAACACCAUCAGAAAUAAAUGCACAAUUUAGACAUCUACAAAACAUUCUAAUAAUUCUGGCUUUGCAUGAAAGCAAAAACAUUGCUUUCCUGCUUAUAACCAAAAUUCAAAAGCAUUGACAAGCGUGUGGCGAAAUGGUGCCUAUAAGGUAUAAUUGUGAAGAAAUGCAGCAGAAUAAUGAUAUUAAUAACGAUAGCAGCUCAUGUACCUCUACAGUUCGGAU
RNAcentral lists this unclassified non-coding RNA (688 nucleotides) under Hevea brasiliensis (rubber tree). Lineage: Eukaryota; Viridiplantae; Streptophyta; Magnoliopsida; Malpighiales; Euphorbiaceae. The record is from RNAcentral.